Molecule: ribosomal RNA, 570 nt
Filed under: uncultured bacterium
Lineage: Bacteria
Description: bacterial SSU rRNA
Rfam family: Bacterial small subunit ribosomal RNA
Source: RNAcentral
CCUACGGGAGGCAGCAGUGGGGAAUAUUGGGCAAUGGAGGAAACUCUGACCCAGCGACGCCGCGUGCGGGAUGAAGGCCUUCGGGUUGUAAACCGCUUUCAGCAGGGAAGAAGCGAAAGUGACGGUACCUGCAGAAGAAGCACCGGCUAACUAUGUGCCAGCAGCCGCGGUAAUACAUAGGGUGCAAGCGUUGUCCGGAAUUAUUGGGCGUAAAGAGCUCGUAGGUGGUUCGUCACGUCGGAUGUGAAAAUCUGGGGCUUAACCCCAGACCUGCAUUCGAUACGGGCGAGCUUGAGUAUGGUAGGGGAGUCUGGAAUUCCUGGUGUAGCGGUGGAAUGCGCAGAUAUCAGGAGGAACACCAAUGGCGAAGGCAGGACUCUGGGCCAUUACUGACACUGAGGAGCGAAAGCGUGGGGAGCGAACAGGAUUAGAUACCCUGGUAGUCCACGCCGUAAACGGUGGGCACUAGUUGUGGGGACCUUCCACGGUCUCUGCGACGCAGCUAACGCAUUAAGUGCCCCGCCUGGGGAGUACGAUCGCAAGAUUAAAACUCAAAGGGAAAUUGACGGG